GGAAUAUUUAGCAAUAAUAUUUUAAAUUUGAGUUAAGCAUACUUUUCUUUUUACAGAAUGACAGCCCAUAUCAAGGCGGUGUAUUCUUUUUGACAAUUCAUUUUCCUACAGACUACCCCUUCAAACCACCUAAGGUUGCAUUUACAACAAGAAUUUAUCAUCCAAAUAUUAACAGUAAUGGCAGCAUUUGUCUCGAUAUUCUAAGAUCACAGUGGUCGCCUGCUUUAACAAUUUCUAAAGUUCUUUUAUCCAUUUGUUCACUGCUAUGUGAUCCAAACCCAGAUGACCCCCUAGUGCCAGAGAUUGCACGGAUCUAUAAAACAGACAGAGAUAAGUACAACAGAAUAUCUCGGGAAUGGACUCAGAAGUAUGCCAUGUGAUGCUACCUUAAAGUCAGAAUAACCUGCAUUAUAGCUGGAAUAAACUUUAAAUUACUGUUC
RNAcentral lists this long non-coding RNA (440 nucleotides) under Homo sapiens (human). RNAcentral's name for it is "non-protein coding lnc-MANBA-2:8". The record is from RNAcentral. Lineage: Eukaryota; Metazoa; Chordata; Mammalia; Primates; Hominidae.